ACGAGUGCUUUGAAGUGGGCUUGAUGCUGGCGCUUUUUUAAGUGCACGUGCUCAGCCUACACUCAAUUCCACUUAACCCCUGUGCACUAUUCGGAGUGUGUUGUCUGUAUACCUUUUCUUACUUCUCUUUCACUAGGGAGGUCAAGGGGGGGGGAAAAGGAUGGCAUCUCCGGUUUUCAUUACAAACCCUUCAUUGUGUAUUGUAAGAAUGUAUUACCUUUUUUAAGGUGAAAUUGAAAUACAACUUUCAACAACGGAUCUCUUGGCUCUCGCAUCGAUGAAGAACGCAGCGAAAUGCGAUAAGUAAUGUGAAUUGCAGAAUUCAGUGAAUCAUCGAAUCUUUGAACGCACCUUGCGCUCCUUGGUAUUCCGAGGAGCAUGCCUGUUUGAGUGUCAUGUUAAUCUCAACUUCAUUGGCUUUUUUGUCAGCGAAGAUUGGAGUUUGGAGGUUGCUGCUGGCUUUGUUAAAGAGCCGGCUCCUCUUAAAUGUCUUAGCUUUGGAAUCCUUCUGCGCAAUCUUGCGGUGUGAUAGUUCUAUUCACUGCGGAUGUUUCAGAUUACAUAAUGGGUUCUGCUUCGAAUAUAUAAAGUCUUGUUUCUUGAAUGAGACAAUUUCAAUCUUGACUCUGACCUCA
This 635-nucleotide ribosomal RNA is filed under the name Nigrofomes sinomelanoporus. Its description in RNAcentral is "eukaryotic LSU rRNA". The stretch from base 243 to 396 matches the Rfam family "5.8S ribosomal RNA". The record is from RNAcentral. Lineage: Eukaryota; Fungi; Basidiomycota; Agaricomycetes; Hymenochaetales; Nigrofomitaceae.